GACGAACGCUGGCGGCGUGCCUAAUACAUGCAAGUUGAGCGAUGAAGAUUGGUGCUUGCACCAAUUUGAAGAGCAGCGAACGGGUGAGUAACGCGUGGGGAAUCUGCCUUUGAGCGGGGGACAACAUUUGGAAACGAAUGCUAAUACCGCAUAACAACUUUAAACAUAAGUUUUAAGUUUGAAAGAUGCAAUUGCAUCACUCAAAGAUGAUCCCGCGUUGUAUUAGCUAGUUGGUGAGGUAAAGGCUCACCAAGGCGAUGAUACAUAGCCGACCUGAGAGGGUGAUCAACCACAUUGGGACUGUGACACGGCCCAAACUCCUACGGGAGGCAGCGGUAGGGAAUCUUCGGCAAUGGACGAGAGUCUGACCGAGCAACGCCGCGUGAGUGAAGAAGGUUUUCGGAUCGUAAAACUCUGUUAGUAGAGAAGAGCGUUGGUGAGAGUGGAAAGCUCAUGCAGUGACGGUACCUAACCAGAAAGGGACGGCUAACUACGUG
This 497-nucleotide ribosomal RNA is filed under the name uncultured bacterium. RNAcentral's name for it is "partial 16S ribosomal RNA". It matches the Rfam family "Bacterial small subunit ribosomal RNA", at positions 28 to 507 of the family's 1533-position model. The record is from RNAcentral.